Small nucleolar RNA from Lynx canadensis (Canada lynx), 131 nucleotides. Ensembl annotates it as small nucleolar RNA SNORA64/SNORA10 family. NCBI's taxonomy places the organism in Eukaryota, Metazoa, Chordata, Mammalia, Carnivora, Felidae. The record is from Ensembl.
CUUCUCUCAGCUCCGCUUAAUCAUACUCGGUGUGUGGUUGGCGUGUUUUCAGAGAGAGAGAGAGGAAGGCUCUCCUAAUGCACGGCAGACCAGCCCCAAGUGGCCUCUCUGUUCCUAGGAGUGCAACAGUG